Molecule: unclassified non-coding RNA, 405 nt
Filed under: soil metagenome
Description: partial contains 5.8S ribosomal RNA, internal transcribed spacer 2, and large subunit ribosomal RNA
Rfam family: 5.8S ribosomal RNA (bases 1-121)
Source: RNAcentral
GAUGAAGAACGUAGCGAAAUGCGAUAAGUAAUGUGAAUUGCAGAAUUCAGUGAAUCAUCGAAUCUUUGAACGCACCUUGCGCCCUUUGGACAUUCCGAAGGGCAUGCCUGUUUGAGUAUCAUGAACACCUCAACUCUCACGGCUUGUCCGUGAUGAGCUUGGACUUUGGGGGUCUUGCCGGCCUGUGGUCGGCUCCUCUCAAAUGGAUCAGCUUGCCAGUGUUUGGUGGCAUCACAGGUGUGAUAACUAUCUGCGCUUGUGGUUUUCCAUCAGAUAACCUUCAGUGAUAUGGAUGUUCGCUGGAGCUCACAAAUGUCUCUCCUUAGUGAGGACAGCUCUUUGAACGUUUGAUCUCAAAUCAGGUAGGACUACCCGCUGAACUUAAGCAUAUCAAUAAGCGGAGGA